This 253-nucleotide unclassified non-coding RNA is filed under the name uncultured Halomonadaceae bacterium. RNAcentral's name for it is "contains 16S-23S intergenic spacer region". It matches the Rfam family "Bacterial small subunit ribosomal RNA", at positions 524 to 776 of the family's 1533-position model. Lineage: Bacteria; Pseudomonadati; Pseudomonadota; Gammaproteobacteria; Oceanospirillales; Halomonadaceae. The record is from RNAcentral.
UACGGAGGGUGCGAGCGUUAAUCGGAAUUACUGGGCGUAAAGCGCGCGUAGGCGGCUAAGUAAGCCGGGUGUGAAAGCCCCGGGCUCAACCGGGGAAUAGCAUCCGGAACUGGUUAGCUAGAGUGCAGAAGAGGAAGGUAGAAUUCCCGGUGUAGCGGUGAAAUUCGUAGAGAUCGGGAGGAAUACCAGUGGCGAAGGCGGCCUUCUGGUCUGACACUGACGCUGAGGUGCGAAAGCGUGGGUAGCAAAGAGG